Molecule: ribosomal RNA, 406 nt
Filed under: uncultured bacterium
Lineage: Bacteria
Description: partial 16S ribosomal RNA
Rfam family: Bacterial small subunit ribosomal RNA
Source: RNAcentral
AUUGAACGCUGGCGGCAGGCCUAACACAUGCAAGUCGAGCGAGCGGCGGACGGGUGAGUAAUGUCUGGGAAACUGCCUGAUGGAGGGGGAUAACUACUGGAAACGGUAUCUAAUACCGCAUACCCUCUGAUGUGCCCACAUGGGAUUAGCUGGUGGGUGGGGUAACGGCUCACCUAGGCGACGAUCCCUAGCUGGGCUGAGAGGAGGACCAGCCACACUGGAACGUAGACACGGGCCAGACUCCUACGGGAGGCAGCAGUGGGGAAUAUUGCACAAUGGGCGCAAGCCUGAUGCAGCCAUGCCGCGUGUGUGAAGAAGGCCUUCGGGUUGUAAAGCACUUUCAGCGGGGAGGCGUUACCCGAAGAAGAAGCACCGGCUAACUCCGUGCCAGCAGCCGCGGUAAUUC